CCUACGGGUGGCAGCAGUGAGGAAUAUUGGUCAAUGGGCGCGAGCCUGAACCAGCCAAGUAGCGUGAAGGAUGACUGCCCUACGGGUUGUAAACUUCUUUUAUAAGGGAAUAAAGUGAGGCACGUGUGCCUUUUUGUAUGUACUUUAUGAAUAAGAAUAGGCUAACUCCGUGCCAGCAGCCGCGGUAAUACAGAGGAUCCGAGCGUUAUCCGGAUUGAUUGGUUUUAAAGGGAGCGUAGAUGGGUUGUUAAGUCAGUUGUGAAAGGUUGCGGCUCAACCGUAAAAUUGCAAUUGAUACUGGCAGCCUUGAGUACAGUUGAGGUAGGCGGAAUUCAUGGUGUAGCGGUG
Molecule: ribosomal RNA, 348 nt
Filed under: uncultured bacterium
Lineage: Bacteria
Description: partial 16S ribosomal RNA
Rfam family: Bacterial small subunit ribosomal RNA
Source: RNAcentral